This 328-nucleotide unclassified non-coding RNA is filed under the name plant metagenome. RNAcentral's name for it is "partial contains 5.8S ribosomal RNA, internal transcribed spacer 2, and large subunit ribosomal RNA". The stretch from base 1 to 105 matches the Rfam family "5.8S ribosomal RNA", at positions 50 to 154 of the family's 154-position model. The record is from RNAcentral.
GAAAUGCGAUAAGUAAUGUGAAUUGCAGAAUUCCGUGAAUCAUCGAAUCUUUGAACGCACAUUGCGCCCUCUGGUAUUCCGGGGGGCGUGCCUGUCCGAGCGUCAUUGCGAACCCCUCAAGCACGGCUUGUGUGAUGGGCCCUCCCGCGUCUUGGUCGUCAAGACGGGCCCGAAAUGCAGUGGCGGCUUCGCGGUUAUCCGAUCAGCCAGAGCGUAUGGGGACUCUCUCUCUGUCACACGCCCGCGGCGCGGACCGACGCCUGUCGACCUUUAUUCAUCUCUUCUUGGUUGACCUCGGAUCAGGUAGGGAUACCCGCUGAACUUAAGC